Molecule: long non-coding RNA, 660 nt
Filed under: Bemisia tabaci
Lineage: Eukaryota; Metazoa; Arthropoda; Insecta; Hemiptera; Aleyrodidae
Description: lncRNA ENSSSA1UGG009110
Source: RNAcentral
AACUUUUGCUGCUUGGUGCGUCUCUGUUAAACUCGGGCCAAAUGACGUCAUAGCAAAGUAAUUAAACUACGAAACGUGUAUCGGAAUGACGUAGUAACAGCUCAGCGUAAUAAUCAGUAAAUAAGAUCUGGUGGAUUGCGUGAGUGUUACGUGUAACGGGCCUACCUUGAGAUAAGACGAGUGGUAGUGGGACACGGGACUAAAGGGAUUGCCCAUUUACGCCUGGGUGCCUUAGGCUCUCCUAUAAAUAAUUAAACCGCGUGAGUGAGCACUAGAGCCUUUUAUCCCAUUGAUUAGACAUAGCUUCCAUUAAAGCGCUUUACUAAUUACGACUUCAUUCAUGUUUACUUUGAGCGGAUAAAUGUGCGGUUUUCCGCAACGCAGUUCGAAAACAUCAUGGAGUGAUAUUUUCGUGAUUUUUUUGGCAAAAUUAAAUGUAGCUUCGAAGUGCAUUUUUCACAACGACUAAAUUGUGCAUACGGAUGUGUACUCGAUGUACGAAUGGACCUGUCUUUUUCACGGUACGUUUACUUUGACGAAGGAAAUUUAGUGCUAUGAACCAAAAUCAGUGCAGCAACAUUUUCCAUUGUACAGUGUCCUGUCAUUCUUUAUAGUUUUAAAAUUCGCGGAAAAUAAGGAGAUGCAAUGUUCCAAAUUUCC